CAGAUGAUUCAUUUGGAUGGAUCA
Molecule: small nuclear RNA, 24 nt
Filed under: Arabidopsis thaliana (thale cress)
Lineage: Eukaryota; Viridiplantae; Streptophyta; Magnoliopsida; Brassicales; Brassicaceae
Description: snRNA_18909
Source: RNAcentral